RNAcentral lists this ribosomal RNA (447 nucleotides) under Fundulus heteroclitus (mummichog). RNAcentral's name for it is "partial 16S ribosomal RNA". It matches the Rfam family "Bacterial large subunit ribosomal RNA", at positions 1928 to 2528 of the family's 2925-position model. The record is from RNAcentral. Lineage: Eukaryota; Metazoa; Chordata; Actinopteri; Cyprinodontiformes; Fundulidae.
CGGCCGCGGUAUCUUGACCGUGCAAAGGUAGCGCAAUCACUUGCCUUUUAAAUGAAGACCUGUAUGAAUGGCUAAACGAGGGCUUAACUGUCUCCUCUCCUAAGUCAAUGAAAUUGAUCUUCCCGUGCAGAAGCGGGGAUGAUUACAUAAGACGAGAAGACCCUAUGGAGCUUUAGACGCAAGGGCAAAUCAUGUUAAGAAUAUUAGACAAAUAAUUAAAACAGAUUGAACUCUGCCACAAUGUCUUUGGUUGGGGUGACCACGGGGAAAAACUUAACCCCCGCGCGGAAUAAAAGUAAAAUCUUUCAAAACCGAGAGUUACCACUCUAAGUAACAGAAAAUCUGACCUUAGUGAUCCGCAAUGCCGAUCAACGAACCGAGUUACCCUAGGGAUAACAGCGCAAUCCCCUUUUAGAGUCCCUAUCGACAAGGGGGUUUACGACCUCG